This 688-nucleotide long non-coding RNA is filed under the name Gorilla gorilla gorilla (western lowland gorilla). RNAcentral describes it as "lncRNA (ENSGGOG00000044405.1)". The record is from RNAcentral. Lineage: Eukaryota; Metazoa; Chordata; Mammalia; Primates; Hominidae.
CUUUUGCACAUUGCUAAUUAUUCCUUUAAACCAGGUUUCCAGAAGUUCCCCAGUCAUUGAGCAUUUCUGAGGCUCUUGAUGCAUAUGCCAAGUAGUUAUGGAGAAAGACGCAGCAGCUUACCUCUGCAGGCAUCAUUGUGUGAAAGGAAGACCCAGGCUCUCUCACCACCCUUGAACAGAAGCGUUUUGCUAAGGUGAUAGCUACAUGUCCAAGCCUAUUGCGUGGCAUGCAUUUUGCCUUCUGCAGCCCACUAAAGUCAGUAAAUUGCAGAUGUAAGAUUCAAAACCAGACUUCACAUCUACCGACUUCAGUGACCCUGAAAUUUGUUCACAGAGAGCAUUUAACAUAACUGUCUUCAUCAUCUCCUUCUCUACAUUAAAAAUUAUGGUUCGCAAAGACGUUAUUGGUGAUUCAAUCUUGAGUCAUGAAAAGUCAACCUGGAGCCACAAAAAGUCAACCUUGAGCCAAGCAGAGUGGAGAGUCAUACAUGCCAUUCCUGGGACCAUCAAAAAUGGCAGAGGUCACACAAAAGGCAAAACUUUUAAGAGGUGUUUCAAACGUCGUAUGGGCCAAAGAGAAGCUGGAUUUUCUAUUGGAGUCAGCUGUAACAUACGUGUGACGAAAUUGGCCUGUGAGGACAAGGCAGUGAGCAGAGAGGACAGCAGUCCUUAUGAGAACAAGCUCUAA